GAAGUAACUUGAAAUCAGAAAAACAUGUUUCUAGUUUUUAAACAACAUGGCGCUGUUGGAUUUCUGUGACCAAGCUGAUCUUAAAGCAUUGUGUGACAUCAACGUCCACCAUAGAGACAAAAGACAGUUAGUUCUAAGCCUCCCAAAGAGGGAAAACAAUUUGCGGCUCUGACUUUAACAAAAAAAUCAAAGUAAAGGACACAAAAAUAUUUUUUAUAAGCUGCCAAAGUGAGAAAUGGAGCCUGGCAAGAUUCAAAAGUGAAAGCUAAUGAUAAGACUUGCAGCAGCAAGAACAGAUUUGAUGAUAAAGCUCUCAGACGCAAAGUAAGUUCGAGAGGGGCAUAUGGUAAGAUGGAGCCUAAACAUGCCCUAUGUGUCAGUGUCUCAUGGCUGAGUUCAAUGUUCCCUCUUUUUGGGUGUGUGAAAUUCACACAUGUGAACACACCUCCUGCCCACCGAGAAGGGAGCCAUCUGACCUUUUGCUUGUGCUGGAAUUAAUGAAGAGACUGUCAUUUGUGAUCUCCAUGAUUGCAUGCUCAUCUCACACAUGCAGAUGUUGUAAAUGUACAGCCAUGAUACCUUCCUCUUUGUUCUGGUUCACAUUUCCUGAAAUCGCCCAUCGUUUUUCUCAAAACCGUAAAGUUCAGAAUCACAUUUUCACAUUACACUCACGCAAUGAAUGCGACUUCUCGCAAGAUCAUACGCCUCAAAAUUUUUUAUCUGCGCUAAAAAAAAUCCAACAUUGUUUGUUUCUGAUCAUACAGACAGAGAGGGUAAAAACUCUACUGGGAUAUGACUACGAGCUAGAUCAAAAACAGAUUUGACAUACAGAUUUUCCAGCUAACUGUGAAUGAAUGAAUAAUAAGCAUUUUAUUACACAGACAUACAUAAACAUGCUUACAUAUUCAAAUGCAAGAGGCAAUCUUGAAUGCAUGGAGUGAAAAAAUACAUUACAGCAAAAAAGAUCCAGAGAGUUAAUUAAUGAAAAUCCAGUUACAGUGACUUUAAACAUUCCUGGAUAGCCAAAGUUAGAAGUCUUUUGUGCACCUUGGGACCAGACAAAAGGCUUUGACAUGUUUCCUGCUCAAAUAGGACAAAGUGUUGCUUGGGAACUUGCCAACUCCUGCUGAUUCUUUCAAAUUUUACAUCUACAUUUAUGUGUUCAAGAAAUGUGUUUUAAAGGACUUUGUCAAUAAUGAGAACCUGUUGCUGCUGGGAGAACAGAAGAGUCUCCUGGUCUCAAUCUCCUGGUUAUAGAAGCCACAGAGAAUCUGCUGAAAAUGGGUGUAUAUAUGUAUUGUAUGCAUUUGACCUGAAUGGGCAUAUAUUGGUUUUAACAGUUUUGAGGAACUGAGUGUAAGUACUGAGAUGGUUGCUUUACUUGUGUUUAAUUGGAAGGCAUCGGAAGUCUCUCACUGUGAAAAUAGGUUUUAUUAAGAGAGCAUUAGGAAAAUAAAUAUGACCAUGUGGCUCUCAGAGUGGGAUUUAGUGCUUUAGCAAUUCAGUAAAGCUGUAAUGAGCCAGAUUCUUGGACAAUCUGCCAGUCAAACCAGUGUGCCUCCAUAAUGACCUGAUAGAUCCAGCAUUUAGGUUGCUAAACAGGACCCAAAAGACACCAGCGACA
Molecule: long non-coding RNA, 1624 nt
Organism: Oreochromis niloticus (Nile tilapia)
Lineage: Eukaryota; Metazoa; Chordata; Actinopteri; Cichliformes; Cichlidae
Exons: 3
Source: RefSeq, a predicted model, not a curated record